Molecule: long non-coding RNA, 2450 nt
Filed under: Gouania willdenowi (blunt-snouted clingfish)
Lineage: Eukaryota; Metazoa; Chordata; Actinopteri; Blenniiformes; Gobiesocidae
Description: lncRNA (ENSGWIG00000003753.1)
Source: RNAcentral
CUAAAAACUAAAAAAAAAAAAAACCACCAAGAAAACCCACACAGAUGGACUACAAUGACAAAACCUUUAGUUUUUUCCCGUAUUAAUGCUGAUAUUGGACAUUAUUCUAAAUGCUAACACAAAUGUUGAUAAUGUGGCCCUCGGAAAAGACAAUUAAGUUUUUGUGGGCCCCGCUCUUUCAGAAGUUACUCAUCUCUGCUUUAUGGUAGUAUAUAAAGUAGAGCGUGAAUGUGUUUUCAAUAACACUUUCUUCAUCUUUAGCAAAGCCGACAACACCAACCAAAAAGAAUAGCAAAGCUGCAAAAGCAAAAAAGGUGAGUUCUCCUCUUGCUUUUAACCAACAUUUUUUUUUUUUUUCAAAACUCAUCCAACUGAACGCUUUGUUUGAUUAUUCAGGAUAUUUUGGCCAAACCAUCAAAAGAUAAAUCUGGAGGAAAAACCAACAAGACGAAGAAGUCGAAGGCUCAAUCCUCAGACAAAGCUGCGGCCGUUGAUGGAGAGGCUUCAGACUCUGACAGCAGUCUGGAUGUGGAGAAAUGGAAGAAUUUGCUCCUGACCAUGACGGAGGCAGACGUGGUCAAGAUGGAAAGCAUCAAUGCUUUAGACUCCUCUGCACCUCAGCCGGCCAAAAAAAGAGUGAGAAAGCCCCGAGCUAAACCACCUGCUAAAUCUGACGCUUCAAGUCAGAAAGAUCACCAAGCUGUCGAAAAACAGGAUGAGGAGAACGACGUGACAGGAACGACAUCGAAGAACAGCGCAGAGAAAAACACUACGCAGACAAACGCUCCAACUUCGUCUGGAAUCGAGAUCCAGGAUAGUAUAUCCAUGAGCUCCCCUUUACAGCAGGAAGAAAAGAAAGACGUUUUACAGAGUAGUGGAGAAACAGGUAAUGAGAUGCCAGAUGCCAAGAAAAAGAAGAGGAAGAAAAAAGAGGAGAAGAUGAGUGACACCAAAACAGAAGCAAAUGUAAAUGAAAUCUGUGGCGAUGGAGAAGGAAAUAAGAAGAAUGAAGUCACUGUCAAGACAAAGACCAAAGCAAAUAAAAAAGAGAAAUCUGAAGAAAGCACAUCAGGGGAACAAAGUGGAAAUCAUUUAGAGCCUGUGGUGAAAGAAAGAAAAUCAAAAAAGAAAAAGACGAAACCUGUAACAGAAGAAACUCCUGAAAAAGUUGAGGUAAAGAAAGCAAAAAAGAGCAAACGGAGUGUUAACGAUGAGGGGGAUCCACAGCCACUGGCCGACGAUGUGACAGAAAAGGCUGAGGAAAGAUCCAAUGACAAAGUAGAAGUUCAAAAAGAAAAGAAGAAAAAACAGAGAGUUGAUAAUGACGGCAUCGAGAAUCUACUGGGUGAAAAAAGUAGUGAUGAAAAAUCGGAAGUGAAAAAAGUGAAGAAGAAGAAGAAAAAGGCUUUGGCCACUGAGGGGAACCCAGAGCAAGUGGCUGAGGAAGUGAAAGAUAAUGCAGCAGAAAAAGUGGAAGAGAAUCAGGUUUCAGAGCAGAAUUUUCAGGCUGUAAAUACAAGCAAAGAUGAAGUGAGUGAGAAUAAGGAAGGUCUGGAGUGCGUGGUCACAGAAAGGAAAGCAAAGAAGAAAAAAAGGAAAUCAGGACAUGAAAGUUUUGCGGAAUUGGGAGAAGGAACACCAAGGAAAAAAAAGGACGCAACACAACCGAAUGAUUUAAUCUUAGAGGAAAUAACAGAAGCUAAUACUUCCAUAUUUAGUCCAUCCAAAGGAAAUCUGCAGGAAAACUGUGAGGAAGCGACGGAGCCAGUUCCUGAGGUCAAGAAAAAGAAAAAGAGGAAAACCAUGUGUGAUGAUGAACCAGAACCAUUGCCUCCUUCUGACCUGGAGACACCCAGUCCUCCAGCAGAGAAGAAGAAGAAGAAAAGCAAAUUAAAAUCUGUCGAGGUCCCACAGUCCCCUGCAGUUUCUGUUCAGGAGCUUCCAGCUGCACAAAGUGACUCAGGCAGCAGCAGAAAGAAAAAGAAAUCCUCUAAGAGCAAAGAGUCAUGAAGUCCGACCCUCAGUCUCUGAAGAACCCCAGGAUGGAAACAUCUCUUCUGUCCUGUGACUCUCCUCAUCAUCUUGUUAUGAUCAGGGUCUUUAAAUAUGAAAAAAAAAGAAAAGUUCAAUUUUGUACUUUAACAUGUUUUUGGACUUUUUACAUGCGCUUUGCUGCAGCAGUCUCGUUUACUGCUUGUGGUCAAUAAUGAUGGCAUUUUUAUAGGUGUUUGUUGUUGUUGUUUUUUAAUAUUUAGAAAAUAUUUGUAGCUGUCCCUGAUCAGGAAAUCCAACAGUCAUGUCAAGUUUCAGAAGAAUAGUUUGUCCUAAAACUGAUUUACAUUUUUUUACUUUUAGUCCUAUAUAUCUAUUUUUUUUUUUUUUUUUUUUUUUAAACAAUAAUUUAUCUUCUGCCAUCUUUUUUUUUAAAAAAAUAACUUUGACUUGGGGGG